This 387-nucleotide unclassified non-coding RNA is filed under the name soil metagenome. RNAcentral's name for it is "partial contains 5.8S ribosomal RNA, internal transcribed spacer 2, and large subunit ribosomal RNA". The stretch from base 1 to 120 matches the Rfam family "5.8S ribosomal RNA", at positions 35 to 154 of the family's 154-position model. The record is from RNAcentral.
GAUGAAGAACGUAGCGAAAUGCGAUAAGUAAUGUGAAUUGCAGAAUUCAGUGAAUCAUCGAAUCUUUGAACGCACCUUGCACCCUUUGGUAUUCCGAAGGGUAUGCUCGUUUGAGUGUCAUUGUACUCUCACACUUCUAAUUCCUUUCGGGAUUGGGAGCGGUGGACUUGGGUGUUGCUGCUUUAGUUGUGGCUCACCUCAAAUAAGUUAGUGCAACUCUUGGUUGGACAUAGUACGGCGUGAUAAGUGUCUUCUCCGGCGCCUCUGUAAGGAGGGUGGCCGAUCGGGAGCUCUGUGCUUCAAACCGUCUUCGGACAAUCUUUGACAACUUGACCUCAAAUCGAGUAGGACUACCCGCUGAACUUAAGCAUAUCAAUAAGCGGAGGA